Molecule: ribosomal RNA, 662 nt
Filed under: uncultured bacterium
Lineage: Bacteria
Description: bacterial SSU rRNA
Rfam family: Bacterial small subunit ribosomal RNA
Source: RNAcentral
AGUGGCGGACGGGUGAGUAACGCGUGAGAAUCUACCUUCAGGACGGGGACAACAGCUGGAAACGGCUGCUAAUACCCGAUAUGCCGAAAGGUGAAAAGUUAUUUCGCCUGGAGAGGAGCUCGCGUCCGAUUAGCUAGUUGGUGGGGUAAAAGCUUACCAAGGCAACGAUCGGUAGCUGGUCUGAGAGGAUGAGCAGCCACACUGGAACUGAGACACGGUCCAGACUCCUACGGGAGGCAGCAGUGGGGAAUUUUCCGCAAUGGGCGAAAGCCUGACGGAGCAACGCCGCGUGGGGGAAGAAGGUUUUUGGAUUGUAAACCCCUUUUCUCAAGGAAGAACAAAAUGACGGUACUUGAGGAAUCAGCCUCGGCUAACUCCGUGCCAGCAGCCGCGGUAAUACGGAGGAGGCAAGCGUUAUCCGGAAUUAUUGGGCGUAAAGCGUUCGUAGGCGGCUGUUCAAGUCUGCUGUCAAAGACCGAAGCUCAACCUCGGGUCGGCAGUGGAAACUGGAUAGCUAGAGGUCGGUAGGGGCAGAGGGAAUUCCCAGUGUAGCGGUGAAAUGCGUAGAUAUUGGGAAGAACACCGGUGGCGAAAGCGCUCUGCUGGGCCGAACCUGACGCUGAGGGACGAAAGCUAGGGGAGCGAAUGGGAUUAGAUACCCC